UAGAGUUUGAUCCUGGCUCAGGACGAACGCUGGCGGCGUGCCUAAUACAUGCAAGUCGAGCGGAGUUUCCGCGACGGAAGCCUUCGGGUGGAAGACGCGGGGACUUAGCGGCGGACGGGUGAGUAACACGUGGGCAACCUGCCCGGAAGACCGGGAUAACAUCCGGAAACGGAUGCUAAUACCGGAUAGGCGGUCUUCUCGCAUGAGGGGAUCGGGAAAGGCGGGGCAACCUGCCACUUCCGGAUGGGCCUGCGGCGCAUUAGCUAGUUGGCGGGGUAACGGCCCACCAAGGCGACGAUGCGUAGCCGACCUGAGAGGGUGACCGGCCACACUGGGACUGAGACACGGCCCAGACUCCUACGGGAGGCAGCAGUAGGGAAUCUUCCGCAAUGGGCGAAAGCCUGACGGAGCGACGCCGCGUGAGUGAGGAAGGUCUUCGGAUCGUAAAGCUCUGUUGCCAGGGAAGAAGACUUGGGAGAGUAACUGCUCUCAAGGUGACGGUACCUGAGAAGAAAGCCCCGGCUAACUACGUGCCAGCAGCCGCGGUAAUACGUAGGGGGCGAGCGUUGUCCGGAAUUAUUGGGCGUAAAGCGCGCGCAGGCGGUCUUGUAAGUCCCGUUGUGUAAGACCGGGGCUCAACCCCGGGUUGCAAGGGAAACUGCAGGACUUGAGUGCGGGAGAGGGAAGCGGAAUUCCAUGUGUAGCGGUGAAAUGCGUAGAGAUAUGGAGGAACACCAGUGGCGAAGGCGGCUUCC
This 755-nucleotide ribosomal RNA is filed under the name uncultured Thermobacillus sp. RNAcentral's name for it is "bacterial SSU rRNA". It matches the Rfam family "Bacterial small subunit ribosomal RNA", at positions 1 to 729 of the family's 1533-position model. The record is from RNAcentral. Lineage: Bacteria; Bacillati; Bacillota; Bacilli; Caryophanales; Paenibacillaceae.